Molecule: long non-coding RNA, 1438 nt
Filed under: Equus asinus (donkey)
Lineage: Eukaryota; Metazoa; Chordata; Mammalia; Perissodactyla; Equidae
Description: lncRNA (ENSEASG00005031167.1)
Source: RNAcentral
GUGGGGGUGGGGGGGGGAGGAUGAGCUUCCGGUCAGACAGAUCAGACUUGAAUCCUUGCUCUGCCAUUUUCUGGCUGUUGACCUUGUAUUAGUUUCUUAUUGCUGCAAAUUAAAACAACGCAAAUGGGUUAUCUCACAGUUCUGAAGGUUGGAAGUCCAACACAGCUGUCACUGGGCUAAAAUCAAGGUGUGAGAGCUGUAUUCCUUUCUGAAGGCUCAAGGGGAAAACCCAUUUCUGCUAUCGACUGAAUGUUUGUGUCCCCCAAAAUUCACAUGUGGAAACCUAAUCCCCAGGCUGAUAGUGUUAGGAGGUGGGGCCUUCGGAGGUGAUUAGGUCAUGAAGGUGGAAUCCUCCAGAAUGGAACUAGUGCCCUUAUAAGAGAUACCCUCAACCUCUCCCACCACCACGUGAAGACAUAGCGAGAAGAUGGCCAUCUACGAACCAGGCACUGAAUCUGCAUGCGCCUUGAUCUUGGACUUCCCAGCCCCAGAACUGUGAGAAGCAACUGUCUGUUGUUUGUAAGGCCCCCAGUCCAUGGCAUUUUGUUAUCACAGCCCAAGCUGACUAAAACAGUUCCCUUGCCUUUUCCAGCUUCCGGAAGCUGCCCACGUUCCUCGAUUCACAGCCGCUUUCCUUCCCUCCAUCCUUAGAGCCAACACUCUGACGCGCUUCUAUAGUCACAUCUCCCUCUGGCUCACUCCUUCCCCUCCCUUUUAAGGAACUUAUCAUUGUGUUGGGCCUACCUGGAUAAUCCAGGAUAAUCUCCCUAUUUUAAAGUCAGGGAUUAGCAACCAUAAUCCCCUCUGAAACAUUAAUUCACCUCCACCAGGUGACCUAACAAAGUCACAGGUUGCAGGUAUUAGGACAUGGGCACCUUUGGGAGGCCAUUAUGCUGCCUACCACAAAUCCAGAGUAGUUAUAUAACCCUCAAGAGUCCAUUUCUUUAUAAAGCUGAAUUCCUUCAACGUUGGGAGCAGGGAUCAGGGCCAGUGAUUAUAUUAGUCAUCUAUUGCUGUGUAACAAAUUGCCCCAAAACUUAGUGGCAUAAAAUGCUAUUAUCUCACACCCCUUCUGAGGGUCAGAAAUUAGUGAGCAGCUUAGCUGAGUAGUCUAGUGCGGGGACUGUCGUAAGGCUCCAGUCAUUGGAAAGAUUGGCCAGGGCUGAAAAGCUCCCAAGAUGGUUCCCUCAGUGGCUGUUGGCAGGAGGCCUCAGUUCCUCGCACGUGGACCUCUCCACAGGGCUGCUUGUGUGUCCUCACGAUGUGGCAGCUGGCGCCCCCUAGAGAGAGUGAUCCAAGAGAGGAAAACAGAAGCCACAGUGUCUUACCUAGCCAUGUACAUACAUUACCUAUUUAAAAUAAUUAACUGGGGCCAACCCCGUGGCUGAGUGGUUAAGUUUGCACACUCUGCUUCAGUGGCCCGGGGUUUCAUAGGUUC